Molecule: long non-coding RNA, 765 nt
Organism: Culex pipiens pallens (northern house mosquito)
Lineage: Eukaryota; Metazoa; Arthropoda; Insecta; Diptera; Culicidae
Exons: 3
Source: RefSeq, a predicted model, not a curated record
CACGGAAAUUAUGUUAGUUUGAAUCAACAAACCUGUUUGUUAGAAACACAUAUCUUGGUUUAUGAAAGCAACAAACCAAUUUAAUAAAUUUAACAAUCGCAUAUUAUUGAUUCCACAAACAUUUUGUCAGUUUGGCAAACAUGUUUGUUGCCUUUGAUUUGAUUUUUCUCAACGUGUACUGAAAAUUUUGAGUGUAUAUUUUUCACCCUCACUGAAUUAUAAAGAUGGCCGAAGUGAAAAAGGACGCGAAAUGUUUUCUUUGUACGGCUUUAAAAAAAUAAUGCCGAAGAAUGUGGCAAGGUCGAUUACUGGUCCAGUUCCGGCGAAGCUUCCUGGUUUCCUGCUGUUAUCAGAUGACGUGACACCAUGGAGUGAGUGGAGGAUUUUCUUGGCUGCAGGUGCUGGACAAAAGUGUUAUUAGUGGAAUAUCGAGUGAUUAUUUUCUUUAAAUUUUAAUGUAAAAUGCUUACUGUGCAAAAAAUAAAUAAAUAGAACAUAAACAAACAACACUGUCUUUAAAAUAAAGAAUAAGACAAGAAGAAGAAAAACGUGUUAAACCAGAUUAUCAGUUUAAUAAAAUAGUUUAUUCAUUCGAUAAACAUGUUUGUUGAACCAUCCCUCAUGAUAGUUGAUAGAUUGAAAAUGUCAUUUUGGGCCAUAACAAACAUGUUUGUUGGAUCGACAAAAAUUGUUGGUUUGAUUUGGACAAACAUGUUUGCAGGCCCUGAGAUGACUAUCAUGUUUGUGGAGUACACCCAACAUUUU